AUUGAACGCUGGCGGAAUGCUUUACACAUGCAAGUCGAGCGGCAGCGCGGUCUUCGGACUGGCGGCGAGCGGCGAACGGGUGAGUAAUACAUCGGAACAUGCCCAGUCGUGGGGGAUAACACUUCGAAAGAAGUGCUAAUACCGCAUACGUCCUGAGGGAGAAAGCGGGGGAUCGCAAGACCUCGCGCGAUUGGAGUGGCCGAUGUCAGAUUAGCUAGUUGGUGGGGUAAAGGCCUACCAAGGCAACGAUCUGUAGCUGGUCUGAGAGGAUGAUCAGCCACACUGGGACUGAGACACGGCCCAGACUCCUACGGGAGGCAGCAGUGGGGAAUUUUGGACAAUGGGGGCAACCCUGAUCCAGCCAUUCCGCGUGAGUGAAGAAGGCCUUCGGGUUGUAAAGCUCUUUCGGCAGGAACGAAACGGUGAGCUCUAACAUAGCUCGCUAAUGACGGUACCUGAAGAAGAAGCACCGGCUAACUACGUG
This 484-nucleotide ribosomal RNA is filed under the name uncultured organism. Its description in RNAcentral is "bacterial SSU rRNA". It matches the Rfam family "Bacterial small subunit ribosomal RNA", at positions 30 to 507 of the family's 1533-position model. The record is from RNAcentral.